RNAcentral lists this long non-coding RNA (314 nucleotides) under Elaeis guineensis (African oil palm). RNAcentral's name for it is "long non-coding RNA (EGUI_LNC058007)". Lineage: Eukaryota; Viridiplantae; Streptophyta; Magnoliopsida; Arecales; Arecaceae. The record is from RNAcentral.
CUAGUACGGAUGGGAUUGGAUUUGGCCUUGGAGGAUUGGUCAGAGGGGAUGGAUGACAAGCAAUGGAUGUCUUUAGAGAAAAGAGCAUGUGCCGCGAUUAGGGCUUGUCUGACGGAUGAGAUUUUGAAUGGCGUGUUGGAAGAGAUCACCUAGGGGUUUGUGAUCGAUGUUACAUAUAUUGUACAUGAAGAAAAAUAUGUGCAAUAAAUUGAUGCUGAAGAAGCAAUUAUAUAGCCUCUGGAUGCAGGUGAAGAAAAGCUAGGGCAAUUUAUGCAUGGAUUUUAAAAAUUUUUAUGCAAGCGGAAGGAAACUAG